This 410-nucleotide ribosomal RNA is filed under the name uncultured bacterium. RNAcentral's name for it is "bacterial SSU rRNA". It matches the Rfam family "Bacterial small subunit ribosomal RNA", at positions 370 to 772 of the family's 1533-position model. The record is from RNAcentral.
AAUGGGCGCAAGCCUGAUCCAGCAAUGCCGCGUGCAGGACGAAGGCCUUCGGGUUGUAAACUGCUUUUGUACAGAACGAAAAAGCCUCUUCUAAUACAGGGGGCUAAUGACGGUACCGUAAGAAGAAGCACCGGCUAACUACGUGCCAGCAGCCGCGGUAAUACGUAGGGUGCAAGCGUUAAUCGGAAUUACUGGGCGUAAAGCGUGCGCAGGCGGUUAUGUAAGACAGAGGUGAAAUCCCCGGGCUCAACCUGGGAACUGCCUUUGUGACUGCAUAGCUGGAGUGCGGCAGAGGGGGAUGGAAUUCCGCGUGUAGCAGUGAAAUGCGUAGAUAUGCGGAGGAACACCGAUGGCGAAGGCAAUCCCCUGGGCCUGCACUGACGCUCAUGCACGAAAGCGUGGGGAGCAAA